ACGGGAGUGUCGAAUCAAGCGAAGCUCUUCAGGUUAGUUGUUCUAUUUGCUCCUUUCCCCCCUUUCCCUUUUUUUUGAUUUUCAGAUCCUCUUUGCUUAAACUCGAUCCCCACCUCAUAUUCAGCACGUCCACGAUAUGGAGGGCGAACUGCCUGAGCAGAUUAUCGAUCCGAAGUUCUGUGGCAUGGAUACCUCGUCUGUCCACAAAUGUUUAUCCAUGCUUAUCCUCGCAUCUCACCCAAUCUGCAGCACGUCCCCGGAUAGAAGAGAAACUCUCGCUAGAGUUCUUGAUCUGGACUGCUACGGGAUAGACAUCACAUCUAGCCCGUAAGGUUGAUGUCGUCCUAGCAGGUAUAGGGAGGAGAUUCCUGGAUGAGCGUAUUAAGUGUUUCUCCAUAGAUUCAUAUUUUCUUCCCCUUAUCAGACAUUUCGAUUUUUUACUUUGAAUCCACUCUGAUAGGUUGCGAUUCAAUAAUGGAAAAGGCCUACUUAGAUGUAAUGACAGAGAGAAGCAACAACGAGUUUGACAAUGAGCAGCUUGUGAACAAGUAGAAGAACACAAUAUUUCGCAAUAAAAUUAGGAUGUCAACGAGCAUCUUAUUCUUCAGUUGUUAUCUGUCCUGUCGUGUUGGCUCAUCUCCUGUUUACAUAGGAUUUAGUUUAACGGUUCAGAGUUGCUGUAUCAAUUUCCUAGAUCACAUUGUGUCAUUGAUAUCCUUACUGCAAAAAGAAAAACGUUGGCAUAAAUUUAUUUGUAUAUCAUGUUUUGACGCACUGGAAUAUGCAUAAUUUUUA
This 795-nucleotide long non-coding RNA is filed under the name Hordeum vulgare. RNAcentral describes it as "long non-coding RNA (HVUL_LNC019121)". Lineage: Eukaryota; Viridiplantae; Streptophyta; Magnoliopsida; Poales; Poaceae. The record is from RNAcentral.